This 114-nucleotide ribosomal RNA is filed under the name Acanthosepion pharaonis. The record is from RNAcentral. Lineage: Eukaryota; Metazoa; Mollusca; Cephalopoda; Sepiida; Sepiidae.
UUACGGUCAAAUCACGCUGAAACACAGGUUCUCGUUCGAUCACCGAAGUUAAGCAGCGUAGAGCCUGGUCAGUACUUAGAUGGGGGACCGCUUGGGAACACCUGGUACUGUAAG